GUAGCCAACGGACCACUAAAUCUCAAACUAUUAUCUCACAAAGGUCUUGAGGCUUGUUUUUCCUACCGCACUUUAAUUUUUUUGAAACAACUAAUAGCUAUGGUCCUCUAAGACAUCGGUGUGAGAAUUCAUGAACAAUUGUUAUUGUAGUGGAAAUCUGCUCCUCCUGUGUAUAUCUAAAGAGAUCAUUGCCAUCUGUAGAGGGUGCUUUGUAGAUAGAUAUGUGUAAGAAUUAUGCUUAACUACUACACUAAAAAGGAGAAUUCCCCUAAUUGGCAGUGAGAGAUCAGCAUAUAACUCGAAUUUUUUAGCCAAGCG
This 318-nucleotide small RNA is filed under the name Histoplasma capsulatum. Its description in RNAcentral is "hypothetical RNA". Lineage: Eukaryota; Fungi; Ascomycota; Eurotiomycetes; Onygenales; Ajellomycetaceae. RNAcentral also lists the same sequence under 1 other name. The record is from RNAcentral.